UCGAGGAUCUUCUGCAAUGGGCGCAAGCCUGACAGAGCGACGCCGCGUGAGGGAUGAAGGCUUUCGGGUUGUAAACCUCUUUCGCCCGUUACGAAUUCCUGGGAGUGAAUAGCUUCCAGGUUGACUAAGGCGGGUAAAGAAGCCCCGGCUAACUACGUGCCAGCAGCCGCGGUAAUACGUAGGGGGCGAGCGUUGUCCGGAAGUACUGGGCGUAAAGCGCGCGUAGGCGGCUUGGUAAGUCGGUUGUGGAAGCCCCGGGCUCAACUCGGGAAUGGCGACCGAAACUGCCAGGCUCGAGUGCGGUAGGGGGUGCUGGAAUUCCUGGUGUAGCGGUGAAAUGCAUAGAUAUCAGGAGGAACACCGGUGGCGAAGGCGGGCACCUGGGCCGCCACUGACGCUGAGGCGCGAAAGCUAGGGGAGCAA
Molecule: ribosomal RNA, 423 nt
Filed under: uncultured bacterium
Lineage: Bacteria
Description: bacterial SSU rRNA
Rfam family: Bacterial small subunit ribosomal RNA
Source: RNAcentral